Molecule: ribosomal RNA, 2957 nt
Filed under: Salmonella enterica subsp. enterica serovar Worthington
Lineage: Bacteria; Pseudomonadati; Pseudomonadota; Gammaproteobacteria; Enterobacterales; Enterobacteriaceae
Description: bacterial LSU rRNA
Rfam family: Bacterial large subunit ribosomal RNA
Source: RNAcentral
AGCGUACACGGUGGAUGCCCUGGCAGUCAGAGGCGAUGAAGGGCGUGCUAAUCUGCGAUAAGCGCCGGUAAGGUGAUAUGAACCGUUAUAACCGGCGAUACCCGAAUGGGGAAACCCAGUGUGAUUCGUCACACUAUCAUUAACUGAAUCCAUAGGUUAAUGAGGCGAACCGGGGGAACUGAAACAUCUAAGUACCCCGAGGAAAAGAAAUCAACCGAGAUUCCCCCAGUAGCGGCGAGCGAACGGGGAGGAGCCCAGAGCCUGAAUCAGCAUGUGUGUUAGUGGAAGCGUCUGGAAAGGCGCGCGAUACAGGGUGACAGCCCCGUACACAAAAGCGCAUGUGCUGUGAGCUCGAUGAGUAGGGCGGGACACGUGGUAUCCUGUCUGAAUAUGGGGGGACCAUCCUCCAAGGCUAAAUACUCCUGACUGACCGAUAGUGAACCAGUACCGUGAGGGAAAGGCGAAAAGAACCCCGGCGAGGGGAGUGAAAAAGAACCUGAAACCGUGUACGUACAAGCAGUGGGAGCCCCACCACUAAGCCAGUGGUGAACUCCACAUACGCAUCCUUUGCUGAAGGUGCGGUUAACGGAGCGCAAGCGACGUUCAACCUCAAAAGAAGCAGAGGGGGCUUAGUGGUGGGGUGACUGCGUACCUUUUGUAUAAUGGGUCAGCGACUUAUAUUCUGUAGCAAGGUUAACCGUAUAGGGGAGCCGGAGGGAAACCGAGUCUUAAUUGGGCGUUAAGUUGCAGGGUAUAGACCCGAAACCCGGUGAUCUAGCCAUGGGCAGGUUGAAGGUUGGGUAACACUAACUGGAGGACCGAACCGACUAAUGUUGAAAAAUUAGCGGAUGACCUGUGGCUGGGGGUGAAAGGCCAAUCAAACCGGGAGAUAGCUGGUUCUCCCCGAAAGCUAUUUAGGUAGCGCCUCGUGAAUUCAUCUCCGGGGGUAGAGCACUGUUUCGGCUAGGGGGCCAUCCCGGCUUACCAACCCGAUGCAAACUGCGAAUACCGGAGAAUGUUAUCACGGGAGACACACGGCGGGUGCUAACGUCCGUCGUGAAGAGGGAAACAACCCAGACCGCCAGCUAAGGUCCCAAAGUCAUGGUUAAGUGGGAAACGAUGUGGGAAGGCCCAGACAGCCAGGAUGUUGGCUUAGAAGCAGCCAUCAUUUAAAGAAAGCGUAAUAGCUCACUGGUCGAGUCGGCCUGCGCGGAAGAUGUAACGGGGCUAAACCAUGCACCGAAGCUGCGGCAGCGAACGUAUCACUUAAAGCGAUUCAGCGGGUUACGAUUGACGGAGCGAAGCGACGUCAAAGCGUAUACAAAGUCGAGUCGGUUUAAGGAUACGUUCGUUGGGUAGGGGAGCGUUCUGUAAGCCUGUGAAGGUGGCCUGUGAGGGUUGCUGGAGGUAUCAGAAGUGCGAAUGCUGACAUAAGUAACGAUAAAGCGGGUGAAAAGCCCGCUCGCCGGAAGACCAAGGGUUCCUGUCCAACGUUAAUCGGGGCAGGGUGAGUCGACCCCUAAGGCGAGGCCGAAAGGCGUAGUCGAUGGGAAACGGGUUAAUAUUCCCGUACUUGGUGUUACUGCGAAGGGGGGACGGAGAAGGCUAUGUUGGCCGGGCGACGGUUGUCCCGGUUUAAGCGUGUAGGUGUGUGUUCCAGGUAAAUCCGGUUCACUUUAACACUGAGGCGUGAUGACGAGGCACUACGGUGCUGAAGCAACAAAUGCCCUGCUUCCAGGAAAAGCCUCUAAGCAUCAGGUAACAUCAAAUCGUACCCCAAACCGACACAGGUGGUCAGGUAGAGAAUACCAAGGCGCUUGAGAGAACUCGGGUGAAGGAACUAGGCAAAAUGGUGCCGUAACUUCGGGAGAAGGCACGCUGACACGUAGGUGAAGUGAUUUACUCAUGGAGCUGAAGUCAGUCGAAGAUACCAGCUGGCUGCAACUGUUUAUUAAAAACACAGCACUGUGCAAACACGAAAGUGGACGUAUACGGUGUGACGCCUGCCCGGUGCCGGAAGGUUAAUUGAUGGGGUCAGCGCAAGCGAAGCUCCUGAUCGAAGCCCCGGUAAACGGCGGCCGUAACUAUAACGGUCCUAAGGUAGCGAAAUUCCUUGUCGGGUAAGUUCCGACCUGCACGAAUGGCGUAAUGAUGGCCAGGCUGUCUCCACCCGAGACUCAGUGAAAUUGAACUCGCUGUGAAGAUGCAGUGUACCCGCGGCAAGACGGAAAGACCCCGUGAACCUUUACUAUAGCUUGACACUGAACAUUGAGCCUUGAUGUGUAGGAUAGGUGGGAGGCUUUGAAGUGUGGACGCCAGUCUGCAUGGAGCCGACCUUGAAAUACCACCCUUUAAUGUUUGAUGUUCUAACGUGGACCCGUAAUCCGGGUUGCGGACAGUGUCUGGUGGGUAGUUUGACUGGGGCGGUCUCCUCCUAAAGAGUAACGGAGGAGCACGAAGGUUGGCUAAUCCUGGUCGGACAUCAGGAGGUUAGUGCAAUGGCAUAAGCCAGCUUGACUGCGAGCGUGACGGCGCGAGCAGGUGCGAAAGCAGGUCAUAGUGAUCCGGUGGUUCUGAAUGGAAGGGCCAUCGCUCAACGGAUAAAAGGUACUCCGGGGAUAACAGGCUGAUACCGCCCAAGAGUUCAUAUCGACGGCGGUGUUUGGCACCUCGAUGUCGGCUCAUCACAUCCUGGGGCUGAAGUAGGUCCCAAGGGUAUGGCUGUUCGCCAUUUAAAGUGGUACGCGAGCUGGGUUUAGAACGUCGUGAGACAGUUCGGUCCCUAUCUGCCGUGGGCGCUGGAGAACUGAGGGGGGCUGCUCCUAGUACGAGAGGACCGGAGUGGACGCAUCACUGGUGUUCGGGUUGUCAUGCCAAUGGCACUGCCCGGUAGCUAAAUGCGGAAGAGAUAAGUGCUGAAAGCAUCUAAGCACGAAACUUGCCCCGAGAUGAGUUCU